CUUGGCGACCAUAGCGUUUUGGACCCACCUGAUCCCAUUCCGAACUCAGAAGUGAAACGAAAUAGCGCUGAUGGUAGUGUGGGGUUUCCCCAUGUGAGAGUAGGACAUCGCCAGGC
RNAcentral lists this ribosomal RNA (116 nucleotides) under Vibrio parahaemolyticus. The record is from RNAcentral. Lineage: Bacteria; Pseudomonadati; Pseudomonadota; Gammaproteobacteria; Vibrionales; Vibrionaceae.